RNAcentral lists this ribosomal RNA (253 nucleotides) under uncultured bacterium. Its description in RNAcentral is "partial 16S ribosomal RNA". It matches the Rfam family "Bacterial small subunit ribosomal RNA", at positions 524 to 776 of the family's 1533-position model. The record is from RNAcentral.
UACGGAGGGUGCGAGCGUUACUCGGAAUUACUGGGCGUAAAGCGCGCGUAGGCGGACUUGUAAGUCUGGGGUGAAAUCCCGGGGCUCAACUUCGGAAGUGCCUUUGAUACUGUAAGACUCGAGUCCGGGAGAGGCGGGCGGAAUUCCUGGUGUAGAGGUGAAAUUCGUAGAUAUUAGGAAGAACACCGGUGGCGAAGGCGGCCCACUGGACUGGAACUGACACUGAGGCGCGAAAGCGUGGGGAGCAAACAGG